This 460-nucleotide ribosomal RNA is filed under the name uncultured Curtobacterium sp. RNAcentral describes it as "bacterial SSU rRNA". It matches the Rfam family "Bacterial small subunit ribosomal RNA", at positions 923 to 1382 of the family's 1533-position model. The record is from RNAcentral. Lineage: Bacteria; Bacillati; Actinomycetota; Actinomycetes; Micrococcales; Microbacteriaceae.
GCACAAGGCGGCGGAGCAGUGCGGUAUUAAUUCGAUGCAACGCGAAGAACCUUACCAAGGCUUGACAUACACCGGUAACGCCCAGAGAUGGGUGCCCCUUUGUGGUCGGUGUACAGGUGGUGCAUGGUUGUCGUCAGCUCGUGUCGUGAGAUGUUGGGUUAAGUCCCGCAACGAGCGCAACCCUCGUCCUAUGUUGCCAGCGGGUCAUGCCGGGGACUCAUGGGAGACUGCCGGGGUCAACUCGGAGGAAGGUGGGAUGACGUCAAAUCAUCAUGCCCCUUAUGUCUUGGGCUUCACGCAUGCUACAAUGGCCGGUACAAAGGGCUGCGAUACCGCGAGGUGGAGCGAAUCCCAGAAAGCCGGUCUCAGUUCGGAUUGGGGUCUGCAACUCGACCCCAUGAAGUCGGAGUCGCUAGUAAUCGCAGAUCAGCAUGCUGCGGUGAAUACGUUCCCGGGCCUU